AAAGGAGAUACCUUUUUCAUCAUUAAGGUCUUCACUCCUGGAAAAGUCUUUAAGUUUUCUGUAACAGUAUUCCACAGAUGAAAGCUUCCCUGGUGUAUUGCCUUCAGAGCACGGAUCGAUAUUUGGCGAGGAGCACCUUCGCAAGAGCUCCAGCUGCACCACUCUCUUCUUGUUCUGCUGUAGCAGCAAAGGGGAGACCUCCAGACCACAGCUGCUCUGUACCUCGGCCUCUGCACACAGCGUAGAUUCUGUUUGCACUGCAAAUUCCCUCUGCUGUUGCUGAAGGGCAGCUAGUCGGUUAUUCUCAUUUAUAAGCCACUGUUGGUCUGUAAACAAAAUGAUUGAAAGAAAGUAAAAAUCAUAGAAAAAACAUUUUUCAUUAAUUAAAUUAGCCUUGAGAACCCAUUUAAGCACAGAAUUCCUAUGUAGGUAGAGCAAAGUCUUUUAACCUUUGUGUUAAUGAAAAAAAUAAAAUGCAAUGCACAUACUAAUAAGCCUUUGGCAAAUAAAUACCUACUGUUUAGUGAAGAAAAUGCAAUAUUAAAAUGUAACUGACUUCUCAAA
Gallus gallus (chicken) is the source of this 564-nucleotide long non-coding RNA. RefSeq lists it as uncharacterized. The transcript has 2 exons. NCBI's taxonomy places the organism in Eukaryota, Metazoa, Chordata, Aves, Galliformes, Phasianidae. The record is from RefSeq and is a predicted model, not a curated record.